Molecule: long non-coding RNA, 860 nt
Organism: Drosophila mojavensis
Lineage: Eukaryota; Metazoa; Arthropoda; Insecta; Diptera; Drosophilidae
Exons: 2
Source: RefSeq, a predicted model, not a curated record
AAUACCCGCAUCGGGUCGGUAUUACUAUUGAAAUUAUAUCCUGUACUUAGGCUUUUUAAUUUAAAUGGACUCUCGUUAAAUUAUUGUUCUGUGAGAACAUUAUUAACAUUUUUAUCUCCACAGGAUAUAAAAUAGAGGUAAGGAAAUAAUAUUCACGUCAACUAUUUAAUUUAAAGGUGUUUACAACCCUGUGGGAACAUUACUAUAUUUUUAAUUUUCAAGUUUGAAAGAAGAUUUGAAGCAAUUAAAUAGGAAAGUGAACCGAUUGGAAGAGGGGAACACUAAUCAAGCAUUUAAUGACCUUAAGGAUCUUCUGUCAUCAUCUGAAGUGCUGGCCUUUCAGCGCUCAUCAUACACAGCAUUUCACACGUGGUAUAUCCUUCCUAGUUUCGAACAUUCAUGGUAAUAGGGAUUUCCGAGAUGCCAGAGGGAAUGAAAUAAAUGCGCUUACAAUGUUGGAUGUAUUGUCAUAACCACAAAUGAAUACUAAAUGUAUGGAACUAUGAAUGCUUUGUAUUAACUUGAACGUGGAUAUCGAUGGCCCUCUUUAUGCUAAUUUAUGGACUCCGGAACUAUCGACUAUCGAUAAUAAAUUUAUAUUGGAUACAUAUCAUUAUAUUGGACAAUUUAUAUUGGAUGAAUAUCAUAAUAAUGGACAUAUGCACCCUGAUCUGCGGGACGCAGAUAAUUAGAUGGGGAAGAGUUAAGACUAUCGACAAUCUAAGGCGGCUGGAGAGUCCAGUCAGACAUUCAAAGGUAGAACCCAACCAGUAGAACUGAUUUGGGGCUGUUCAUAUUCGGACUAGAGAGAGUUUAGAUCUAUUGUUACUAAAUUAUAUAAAAUAUAUUAUUUCUUUGAA